This 466-nucleotide ribosomal RNA is filed under the name uncultured bacterium. Its description in RNAcentral is "partial 16S ribosomal RNA". The stretch from base 20 to 326 matches the Rfam family "Bacterial small subunit ribosomal RNA", at positions 47 to 358 of the family's 1533-position model. The record is from RNAcentral.
GAUGAACGCUGGCGGCGUGCUUAACACAUGCAAGUCGAACGAUGAAGCCCAGCUUGCUGGGUGGAUUAGUGGCGAACGGGUGAGUAACACGUGAGUAACCUGCCCUUAACUCUGGGAUAAGCCUGGGAAACUGGGUCUAAUACCGGAUAGGAGCGUCCACCGCAUGGUGGGUGUUGGAAAGAUUUAUCGGUUUUGGAUGGACUCGCGGCCUAUCAGCUUGUUGGUGAGGUAAUGGCUCACCAAGGCGACGACGGGUAGCCGGCCUGAGAGGGUGACCGGCCACAGGGGGAGGGAGAAGGGGCACGGCCCCCAGGGGGAGGAGGGGGGGGGGAAUAGUGAGGAAGGGGGGGAGGCGGAGGGGGGCGAGGCCGGGGGAGGGAGGACGGCGUUGGGGUGGAAACCCUUUGGGGGAAGGAAAGAGGGAAAGGGGGGGGACCGGGCAGAGGAGCCACGGGAAAACAAGGGC